RNAcentral lists this transfer RNA (71 nucleotides) under Johnius belangerii (Belanger's croaker). Its description in RNAcentral is "tRNA-Gln". It matches the Rfam family "tRNA". From Rfam's summary of the family: Transfer RNA (tRNA) molecules are approximately 80 nucleotides in length. Their secondary structure includes four short double-helical elements and three loops (D, anti-codon, and T loops). Lineage: Eukaryota; Metazoa; Chordata; Actinopteri; Sciaenidae. The record is from RNAcentral. RNAcentral also lists the same sequence under 1 other name.
UAGAAAAUAGUGUAGUGGAAACACUGAGAGUCUUGAUCUCUCCAAGAGGGGUUCAAGUCCUCUUUUUCUAA